UACGUAGGGUGCGAGCGUUGUCCGGAAUUAUUGGGCGUAAAGAGCUCGUAGGCGGCUUGUCGCGUCGGAUGUGAAAGCCCGGGGCUUAACCCCGGGUCUGCAUUCGAUACGGGCAGGCUAGAGUUCGGUAGGGGAGAUCGGAAUUCCACGUGUAGCGGUGAAAUGCGUAGAGAUGUGGAGGAACACCAGUGGCGAAGGCGACUCUUUGGCCUGUAACUGACGCUGAGGCGCGAAAGCGUGGGGAGCAAACAG
RNAcentral lists this ribosomal RNA (252 nucleotides) under uncultured bacterium. RNAcentral's name for it is "partial 16S ribosomal RNA". It matches the Rfam family "Bacterial small subunit ribosomal RNA", at positions 524 to 775 of the family's 1533-position model. The record is from RNAcentral.